ACGAACGCUGGCGGCGUGCUUAACACAUGCAAGUCGAACGGAGAUAGUUUGAAAGCUUGCUGAUAACUAUCUUAGUGGCGCACGGGUGAGUAACACGUGGGCAACCUGCCCGGAAGACUGGGAUAACACCUCGAAAGGGGUGCUAAUACCGGAUAUUUUCACGAAGUCGCAUGACUUUGUGCAGAAAGUUUUUCGCUUCCGGAUGAGCCCGCGUCCCAUUAGCUAGUUGGUGAGGUAACGGCUCACAAAGGCGACGAUGGGUAGCUG
Molecule: ribosomal RNA, 267 nt
Filed under: uncultured bacterium
Lineage: Bacteria
Description: partial 16S ribosomal RNA
Rfam family: Bacterial small subunit ribosomal RNA
Source: RNAcentral